GUGUAAUUCCCACAGCCUUCGUCACCUCAAGCUGUCAGCUGAGAAAGUGGAGGAUCUGUGCUCUGCUCUCAGCACACUGCAGGCUCUGUCAAAGGUAGACUUCACUCUGAACUGCCUGACACAAGGAUGUGCUGCCAGCUUUAUCAAUCUCAUCUUGAACUGCAGCAGUCUACACUCUCUCAGUCUAUCAGUGGAGGAAAGGGAUAAAAGAUCAUUGUCUGCAGUCCUGACAGGCCACAGAAGGAUGUGAGAUUGAAGAUGACUGGCCUAACAGACGCCCAUGCUGAGGAUCUGUGCUCUGCUCACAGCCUACAACAGUUUCUAACAGAUCUUAGACUGAGUGACCGUGAACUCAUAAAUGUAUCAGUACCUGGCUUGAGACAUUUCAUUCAGAAUUACAACAACCUGCAACAUUUUAGACUGCGCCACUUCAGGCUAUCAGAAGAGGAAGUGGAGGAUCUGUGCUCUACUCUGUGCACAAUGCAGACCCUCAGGUCUGUGAAGGUCACGGUGGACCGCCUCACAGAACGAUGUGCUGCCAGCCUGAACCUCCUCCAAAAGUGCGACAAUGUAUCGUCUCUUCAAGUAACAUGUAAUACGCAGUUAGACUCCGGAAUGAGAGUGCUAAAGGAAGGUGAAAGGAAUCCAGGCAUCCUUAAGGUAACUAAGCAGCAGGUAAUUCCAGAGGUGCUAUGGGCUUUGAUGGUGCCUGUCAUAGCAAAUAUGGUCUAUGGACCACGUCAUCCCCUGUGUCACCCAGAGGACUACAUUAAUAAAGACAGCUGAUUCAUCUAUUCAGAACAUGUGUAUUCACUACUGAUGUCAUUUGUGUGAAAAGGCAAUCAUAAUGGCACCAAAUUAUGCAAAUGUGUUCAUGGAAAAGUUGGAGUUUGAUCAUAUAUAUAACAACAAUCCCUUUCAAGAAUCUGUUAAAUAGUGGGCCCUGUUUUAAUUAUUUCAUUUAAAUUGUAAUAGUUAUUUAUAAUUUAUAUAACUGUUGAUGAAUUGGAAUUAGUUACUGAUA
Molecule: long non-coding RNA, 1024 nt
Organism: Polyodon spathula (Mississippi paddlefish)
Lineage: Eukaryota; Metazoa; Chordata; Actinopteri; Acipenseriformes; Polyodontidae
Exons: 5
Source: RefSeq, a predicted model, not a curated record